GGUUUCCUGGAGUGUGCGCCAGUCAUUACAAGUCCCUCGAGCCUAUGCGCAGUACCCAGGGGGCCAAAUGCUAGGCAGGCCCGUGUGCAUGUCCGCGCGACGGAAAGCCUGAAGGCUUGCCUGCGGCCACCCACCUUGAACCAAUAGGUUCAGGGCCAGAAUGACAGCGGCACUCUGGGGAACUC
Molecule: non-coding RNA, 185 nt
Organism: Salinicola sp. MIT1003
Lineage: Bacteria; Pseudomonadati; Pseudomonadota; Gammaproteobacteria; Oceanospirillales; Halomonadaceae
Rfam family: 6S / SsrS RNA
About the family: E. coli 6S RNA was the first non coding RNA to be sequenced, but its function was unknown until recently. It consists of 184 nucleotides that fold into an extended hairpin structure with a large single-stranded internal bulge.
Source: Rfam